AGGAAUAACAGAUUCGUGGGGUGGUUGGAGUAUUUCAGGAGGAACUGUAACAAAUCCGGGUAUUUGGAGUUAUGAAGGUGUGGCAGGUACGCCUAUUUUGAUU
Long non-coding RNA from Brachypodium distachyon (stiff brome), 103 nucleotides. RefSeq lists it as uncharacterized. Lineage: Eukaryota; Viridiplantae; Streptophyta; Magnoliopsida; Poales; Poaceae. The record is from RefSeq and is a predicted model, not a curated record. The transcript is spliced from 3 exons.